RNAcentral lists this ribosomal RNA (1439 nucleotides) under uncultured bacterium. RNAcentral describes it as "bacterial SSU rRNA". It matches the Rfam family "Bacterial small subunit ribosomal RNA". The record is from RNAcentral.
GAUGAACGCUAGCGGGAGGCCUAACACAUGCAAGCCGAGCGGUAUAGUUUCUUCGGAAACUAGAGAGCGGCGUACGGGUGCGUAACACGUGUGCAACCUACCUUUAUCUGGGGGAUAGCCUUUCGAAAGGAAGAUUAAUACCCCAUAAUAUAAUUAUUGGCAUCAAUAAUUAUUGAAAACUCCGGUGGAUAGAGAUGGGCACGCGUAAGAUUAGAUAGUUGGUGAGGUAACGGCUCACCAAGUCAAUGAUCUUUAGGGGGCCUGAGAGGGUGAUCCCCCACACUGGUACUGAGACACGGACCAGACUCCUACGGGAGGCAGCAGUGAGGAAUAUUGGACAAUGGGUGAAAGCCUGAUCCAGCCAUCCCGCGUGAAGGACGACGGCCCUAUGGGUUGUAAACUUCUUUUGUGUAGGAAUAAGCCUAGAUACGUGUAUCUAGCUGAAGGUACUAUACGAAUAAGCACCGGCUAACUCCGUGCCAGCAGCCGCGGUAAUACGGAGGGUGCAAGCGUUAUCCGGAUUUAUUGGGUUUAAAGGGUCCGUAGGCGGACCUGUAAGUCAGUGGUGAAAUCUCAUAGCUUAACUAUGAAACUGCCAUUGAUACUGCAGGUCUUGAGUGAAUUUGAGGUAGCUGGAAUAAGUAGUGUAGCGGUGAAAUGCAUAGAUAUUACUUAGAACACCAAUUGCGAAGGCAGGUUACCAAGAUUCAACUGACGCUGAGGGACGAAAGCGUGGGGAGCGAACAGGAUUAGAUACCCUGGUAGUCCACGCUGUAAACGAUGCUAACUCGUUUUUGGGCUUUUGGGCUCAGAGACCAAGCGAAAGUGAUAAGUUAGCCACCUGGGGAGUACGUUCGCAAGAAUGAAACUCAAAGGAAUUGACGGGGGCCCGCACAAGCGGUGGAUUAUGUGGUUUAAUUCGAUGAUACGCGAGGAACCUUACCAAGGCUUAAAUGGGAAAUGACCGGUUUAGAAAUAGACCUUUCGCAAGACAUUUUUCAAGGUGCUGCAUGGUUGUCGUCAGCUCGUGCCGUGAGGUGUUAGGUUAAGUCCUGCAACGAGCGCAACCCCUGUCACUAGUUGCUACCAUUAAGUUGAGGACUCUAGUGAGACUGCCUACGCAAGUAGAGAGGAAGGUGGGGACGACGUCAAAUCAUCACGGCCCUUACGCCUUGGGCCACACACGUAAUACAAUGGCCGGUACAGAGGGCAGCUACACAGCGAUGUGAUGCAAAUCUCGAAAGCCGGUCUCAGUUCGGAUUGGAGUCUGCAACUCGACUCUAUGAAGCUGGAAUCGCUAGUAAUCGCGCAUCAGCCAUGGCGCGGUGAAUACGUUCCCGGGCCUUGUACACACCGCCCGUCAAGCCAUGGAAGUCUGGGGUACCUGAAGUCGGUGACCGUAAAAGGAGCUGCCUAGGGUAAAACAGGUAACUAGGGCU